RNAcentral lists this unclassified non-coding RNA (356 nucleotides) under uncultured Pezizales. Its description in RNAcentral is "sequence contains ITS1". The stretch from base 1 to 105 matches the Rfam family "5.8S ribosomal RNA", at positions 50 to 154 of the family's 154-position model. Lineage: Eukaryota; Fungi; Ascomycota; Pezizomycetes; Pezizales. The record is from RNAcentral.
GAAAUGCGAUAAGUAGUGUGAAUUGCAGAAUUCAGUGAAUCAUCGAAUCUUUGAACGCACAUUGCGCCUUCCGGCAUUCCGGGAGGCAUGCCUGUCCGAACGUCAUCAAGCCCCUCGCCCGCGUCUGUUGCUUGCAACGGAAGCCUCGGGCGGUUCCUGGCAGAUGGGUUGCACUCGUGCGCCCACCGCCGAAAUCCAUCGGCAGACCCUUCAUGGCUGUGAUUGUGAUAAGAUUUUCUUACAAUCGCCUGUCUGACUGGUGUCUGGCCGCAACAAACCGCAGACCCUCCACGGGGCCGUGCGGCAAAACCAAAUCUUUUGACUUCGGAUCAGGUAGGGAUACCCGCUGAACUUAA